CGAUUGUCUGGAAUAACCGGCCGAAAGGCUGGCUAAUACUGGAUAGAGCGAGGAAAUUCGUAAUUGGAUUUUUCGGGAAAGGGAGCUCGUAAGAGCCUUCGCAGUCAGAUGAGCCUGCGUCUCAUUAGCUAGUUGGUGGGGUAAUGGCCCACCAAGGCUUUGAUGGGUAGCUGGUCUGAGAGGAUGAUCAGCCACACUGGAACUGAAACACGGUCCAG
Molecule: ribosomal RNA, 218 nt
Filed under: uncultured bacterium
Lineage: Bacteria
Description: partial 16S ribosomal RNA
Rfam family: Bacterial small subunit ribosomal RNA
Source: RNAcentral